Molecule: non-coding RNA, 111 nt
Organism: Acanthosepion pharaonis
Lineage: Eukaryota; Metazoa; Mollusca; Cephalopoda; Sepiida; Sepiidae
Source: the annotation of a GenBank genome assembly
CUGGUCAUAUCACAUUGAAACACCAGUUCCCAUACAGUUACCAAAGUUAAGCAACGUCGAGUCUGGCCAGGACCUAGAUGGGUGACCGCUUGGGAUUACCAGCUGCUGUAA